UAUUACCAGUAUAUUCUAAUACUAUCAGAGAUUUUCUAUAUAAAUCAAAGUAGGCUGGAAGCUUGCAUUAUUUUCCCACAACACCCAUCGUCAUUCGUGUUCAUUCCUUGAGCUACAUACAUUUAUAUUUAUGUGCAUGCUUUGUCAGGGAUCAAAAGAGAUAUCUGAAGUUCCCUCAUCAAAUUUACAACUACAUGUACUUACUGAUUACAAAUCAUCAAAUUUAAAAUGUUUUAUUUUCAUACGGGAAAUUUAUAUACAAUUUUUUGUUGUUUAUUUAGCAGAUUGGAAUAACCUAUUAGUUCAACAAUGUGUCUUUCUAUUUCAUCACUUUUAUGUGUUUGAAUGAAAGUAGAUGUUCAGUGUUGUGGUAAACUACAGGUUGGGCCUUGCUGCUUACCGGUAUCCUUGUCCAUAUUGUGCAAUAAUAUACCACAAUGCACUGGGAAUUAAUAUCUAAAUUGUAUAUCUUAAUAUAAAGAGAAUUAUGAUACAUUGAGUAUCCCCAAGUUUCAGUGUAUCAUCAGCUACAGCGAACUAUCAUGAAGUGAUGUGAUCAUCAAGAUAGAUUUUUAGUGUUUUAUUUUUUUUUAUAAUUUUUCUCUCAAUUUUAUGAAAACUGUUUUAGUAUUUUGUUAAUUUUCUAUUUGAAUUAUAACAAUAUGUUGGUGUCUUUCGGUUAAUUAUUGUAAUAUGUGUUGUGUAUUUUCUACCUACCGAGUACUGGUAGUUACAAUUCGUUGUUGAUUUCAGGGUAAACUGCUACGAUGUGUUUGACAGCUGCGCACCUUUCGGAGGGUUCAACAUGUCUGGUAAUGGACGUGAACUUGGAGAAUAUGGACUUGAAGCCUAUACGGAAGUUAAACAUGUGUGUAUUAAAGUGCCUCCAAAGAAUUCAUAAAUUAAACCAUGAAACUUUUGUCAGUGUGAAUCAAUUUGAAAUACAAUCAAAACCUAAUUAUGUUUGAAAAAGUGUCUCUUAUAAAAGUGGUGAAAAAACAAACUUGUCAGGUAUAUAACCAUCAACAGAUUGUAUGAAUUUGCCACAUUGUGUUGUUGUAUUGUUGUUAAUUAUAUAUAUUUUGCAAUUUGUGAGAAUUUAUGCAAUAAUUUCUCAUUUGGAUUGGUGAUUCUAGAAGGUAAAUGAGGAGUCUGGUCAAAUUGACAUGCUCUGUUGAUGUUCUUCAGAAAGUGCUAGAAAAUCAUAUACAUAUUUCUUUUAUUAUAUUGUAUUGUAUUAUUAUAUAUACAUAAUAUAUAAUUACAUGAAUUUGUAUAUAAAAAAGACAUUUUUUAAAAAAAAAUUAUUUCAAACUAAUUACUUUGCUUUACAUGUUAGUUAUAGACCUAUACUUUAUAUAUUUUGUUAGAUAUAUUCUUUGGUUAUAUGGGAUACAUGUGUUACAUGGGAACAAGGCAAGAUCUAUCACAAUAAUGAUGAUAUUAAAUUUAGAGCUAGAUUAUUAAAUUAUGUGUUUUCUAUGUGUGCGCAGGUUUACCACUAUUUUCAACAAAAAAAAGAUGUUUGAUGUUCGUGCUAUAAAUACAUUCUCUAUGAUGAGUACGGGUUAAUAACUAUAAGCGAUUAUAAGUGUAACAUUCAUUUUAAAGUGACCUACAGCUUUUCUUAAGGUUGAAUAUGAUAUUUUACGUAAAUCAUUUCAUAUAAUUGUUGAACCAAAAUUUUUUCAUUUAAUUGUUUCAUAUAAUUGUUGAAUCAAAAUUUGUUUAUGAAAUUUGCAGUCGAUAAAAUAAUAAACAAUAAGGAAACCCCACGAUAAUCUCAAAUCUACCGGUCCGCUCUCUAUAUGUAAAUAAGUAAAGCAGACAAUUUGUUUCUCGGUCUUAUUUUUAGACACGGACAUGCUAUUAAUAGCUCUUAGAACGCUGUUUUUAGAAAGCUUAACAGUGUAUAUAUGAUUCACUUUUCCAAAAUAAAUUACUGAGUUUAGAACAAAACAGAAUAGUUUUUUCCAACAAAAAGGCUGAAGGCUGCUUUAAGUCCAUUUAGCAGCAAAAGUAAUGUUUAAAACCUUGAUGUAGCAAGUUUCUACUUACAUUAUAAAUGUCAAUUGGAUCUAUAUCUAAUUUUGUGACAAUUGUUUCGUAAUGAUUCACACAAGAUUGAAUUGGGUCAUCUGAGGUCAGAUCAAAGGGAAAAGCAUGUUUUCCCUCUAUAGAACAAACUUAAUGAAAUAUUAAUGAAAAUGUGUAAGCUUUAAAUAUGCAGACCAUAUUUAGAUAUACAUGUAGGUCUUGUAGGUUAAAAUGCAACACAAAUCACAUUUGGUAUAGAAAAAAAGUCACUGGCUCAGAAUGAAAUAAAAACCUUAACUUUUCAUCAAACUUUUCAUCAUACCAUGAAUUUUUCAUUAAUCUUAGAAAAGCAUUAAUUUUGCAGUCUUCACUCAGGUUAACAAUAAAUGGGUACUUAUUGCAUUGUUAUUUUUAUGCCCCCGCCAUGUAAUGGCCGGGGCAUAUAGUGUUACCCUGUUCCGUCCUUCCGUCAUUCCGUCCUUCCGUCAUUCCGUCCUUCCGUCAUUCCGUCCUUCCGUCAUUCCGUCAUUCUGUCAUUCCGUCAUCAUCAGUUUCCGUUCAUUAUCUAAGUAACGGUUGCACACAUUCAACUCAAAUUUGACAUAUGGAUAUGUCAUGAGAAAAUACAGGUCAAGUUCGAAUUUGGUCAUGGUUCGAUGAUUUUUGGCAGAGUUAUGCCCCUUUUACUUUAAAAUAAUAUGAAAUUUUCAGUUUCCAUUCAUUAUCUCCCCAACGAUACAACACAUUCAACUCAAACUUGACAUAU
Long non-coding RNA from Ruditapes philippinarum (Manila clam), 2803 nucleotides. RefSeq lists it as uncharacterized. The transcript has 2 exons. The record is from RefSeq and is a predicted model, not a curated record. Lineage: Eukaryota; Metazoa; Mollusca; Bivalvia; Venerida; Veneridae.